GGAUGAACGCUAGCUACAGGCUUAACACAUGCAAGUCGAGGGGCAGCAUGGUCUUAGCUUGCUAAGGCCGAUGGCGACCGGCGCACGGGUGAGUAACACGUAUCCAACCUGCCGUCUACUCUUGGACAGCCUUCUGAAAGGAAGAUUAAUACAAGAUGGCAUCAUGAGUCCGCAUGUUCACAUGAUUAAAGGUAUUCCGGUAGACGAUGGGGAUGCGUUCCAUUAGAUAGUAGGCGGGGUAACGGCCCACCUAGUCUUCGAUGGAUAGGGGUUCUGAGAGGAAGGUCCCCCACAUUGGAACUGAGACACGGUCCAAACUCCUACGGGAGGCAGCAGUGAGGAAUAUUGGUCAAUGGGCGCAGGCCUGAACCAGCCAAGUAGCGUGAAGGAUGACUGCCCUAUGGGUUGUAAACUUCUUUUAUAAAGGAAUAAAGUCGGGUAUGUAUACCCGUUUGCAUGUACUUUAUGAAUAAGAAUCGGCUAACUCCGUG
RNAcentral lists this ribosomal RNA (491 nucleotides) under uncultured bacterium. RNAcentral describes it as "partial 16S ribosomal RNA". It matches the Rfam family "Bacterial small subunit ribosomal RNA", at positions 27 to 507 of the family's 1533-position model. The record is from RNAcentral.